GGACCCGUAGCAUAGCAUGGAUAGUGCGGGCGAUUCCGGAUCGCCAGGCCGGGGGAUCGAAGCCCUCCGGGUCCU
This 75-nucleotide transfer RNA is filed under the name Nitrososphaerota archaeon. Its description in RNAcentral is "Thaumarchaeota archaeon tRNA-Arg". RNAcentral also lists the same sequence under 1 other name. Lineage: Archaea; Thermoproteati; Nitrososphaerota. The record is from RNAcentral.